UCCACGCCGUAAACGAUGUCUACUAGAUUGGUGGGAAUUCUGACAUUCUCGCAGUCGAAGCAAAAGUGUUAAGUAGACCGCCUGGGGAGUACGGUCGCAAGGCUAAAAACUCAAAGGAAUUGACGGGGGCUCACACAAGCGGUGGAGCAUGUGGCUUAAUUCGAAGCAACGCGAAGAACCUUAUCCUGGGUUUGACUAUCACGGAUGCCCCUUCCCGGAAAGGGAAGUAAGCU
Molecule: ribosomal RNA, 233 nt
Filed under: uncultured bacterium
Lineage: Bacteria
Description: partial 16S ribosomal RNA
Rfam family: Bacterial small subunit ribosomal RNA
Source: RNAcentral